CGAAUGGAGCAAUCCUAGUAGAGCGGCGCACGGGUGCGUAACACGUGGAUAAUCUGCCUGGGUGUCUGGGAUAACCAGUCGAAAGAUUGGCUAAUACCGGAUAAGCCCCCGGGAGCUUCGGCUCUUGAGGGAAAAGGUGGCCUCUGUAUACAAGCUAUCACAUCCAGAUGAGUCCGCGGCCCAUCAGCUAGUUGGCGGGGUAAUGGCCCACCAAGGCGACGACGGGUAGCUGGUCUGAGAGGACGAUCAGCCACACUGGAACUGAGACACGGUCCAGACUCCUACGGGAGGCAGCAGUGGGGAAUUUUGCGCAAUGGGCGAAAGCCUGACGCAGCAACGCCGCGUGUGUGAUGAAGGUCUUCGGAUUGUAAAGCACUUUCGACCGGGACGAAAACCCUCUGGCCAACACCCAGGGGCUUGACGGUACCGGGAGAAGAAGCACCGGCUAACUCUGUGCCAGCAGCCGCGGUAAUACAGAGGGUGCAAGCGUUGUUCGGAAUUAUUGGGCGUAAAGCGCGUGUAGGCGGCUUUGCAAGUCGGGUGUGAAAGCCCUCAGCUCAACUGAGGAAGUGCGCCCGAAACUGCAGAGCUUGAGUGCCGGAGAGGGUGGCGGAAUUCCCCAAGUAGAGGUGAAAUUCGUAGAUAUGGGGAGGAACACCGGUGGCGAAGGCGGCCACCUGGACGGUAACUGACGCUGAGACGCGAAAGCGUGGGGA
This 716-nucleotide ribosomal RNA is filed under the name Cystobacter sp. 42-yz-1. RNAcentral describes it as "bacterial SSU rRNA". It matches the Rfam family "Bacterial small subunit ribosomal RNA", at positions 67 to 767 of the family's 1533-position model. The record is from RNAcentral. Lineage: Bacteria; Pseudomonadati; Myxococcota; Myxococcia; Myxococcales; Archangiaceae.